This is a long non-coding RNA of Cyprinus carpio carpio, 816 nucleotides long. Lineage: Eukaryota; Metazoa; Chordata; Actinopteri; Cypriniformes; Cyprinidae. The record is from Ensembl.
ACAUUACAGCACCUGUCAUGACAUCCAGUUCAUCUCUUCUGCCUUCAUAGGUCUGAGAGGAUAUCAGACACUGAUUAGCCCAGCAGGAACACAGAUCAUCAUUAACUCAGGCUCAUCUGGGGUCAGCUGAGGUGCAGCCCUUGUUGCUUUCAGUGGAAAGGAGUUAUUUCUUAAUAUCAUGCUCAGAACUCAAGGUAUUCAGCUGACAGAAUUGGACUGGUUGACUCGAGCAGUGCUGUUGUUAUCUAGAGCCUGCACAUGUCUGCAUGUGGACAAAACCCAUCGGUGUAACCACUGGAGCGGCAGCCAUCUUAUCACAAACAGAACAAGCGCUGCUAGGACUCGUUCUUCCCCUGUUCCCACACUGGAGCCCAGCAGUCAUGUUAAAUGGAUAUGACGUAAGCAUCUCGGCUCUUGACACCUCUCUCUUAAGGUCUGAGUUUACAGGACUGGGAAUUAGACAUCAUCCUUCAGAACGCACUAUCAGCCCGACACACCGUACAUGUUCAGCAUGGCAUGAUAAUCUCUCUGUGUGUGUUAACAUGACAUUAAAGCAAUUGUGCUUUAUUAAUCUCCGAUAAAUCCUUAUAAAUCUUAAUCGAAGUUCAAAACAUUCCCAAUCCAAAAAGUUCCCAAUGCUCCAUCUACUGUCAGAGCUGCUUAUACAAAGGAAUUCCUUUUUUUUAAUGUUAUAUGCCCAUACAUGGUUGGAUUUAAAUGUGGUAAAAUGUGUUAUACUGAUCUGUUAGUACUGCAGUCCUAUUGCUAGCAGACAGCAUUAUCAAAUCACUUAAAAUAUGUGACCACUGAAAAAAA